Molecule: ribosomal RNA, 34 nt
Filed under: Ginoria jimenezii
Lineage: Eukaryota; Viridiplantae; Streptophyta; Magnoliopsida; Myrtales; Lythraceae
Description: partial 18S ribosomal RNA
Source: RNAcentral
UCCUGCAAAGCAGAACGACCCGUGAACUCGUUAA